This 434-nucleotide ribosomal RNA is filed under the name uncultured bacterium. RNAcentral's name for it is "partial 16S ribosomal RNA". It matches the Rfam family "Bacterial small subunit ribosomal RNA", at positions 29 to 507 of the family's 1533-position model. The record is from RNAcentral.
AGCGAACGCUGGCGGCAGGCUUAACACAUGCAAGUCGAGCGGGCACUUUCGGGUGUCAGCGGCGGACGGGUGAGUAACGCGUGGGAACGUGCCCUCUGGUUCGGAAUAACUCAGGGAAACUUGAGCUAAUACCGGAUACGCCCUUUUGGGGAAAGGCUUGCUGCCGGAGGAUCGGCCCGCGUCUGAUUAGCUAGUUGGUGAGGUAACGGCUCACCAAGGCGACGAUCAGUAGCUGGUCUGAGAGGAUGAUCAGCCACACUGGGACUGAGACACGGCCCAGACUCCUACGGGAGGCAGCAGUGGGGAAUAUUGGACAAUGGGCGCAAGCCUGAUCCAGCCAUGCCGCGUGAGUGAUGAGGCCUUAGGGUUGUAAAGCUCUUUUAUCCGGGACGAUAAUGACGGUACCGGAGGAAUAAGCCCCGGCUAACUUCGUG